Molecule: ribosomal RNA, 206 nt
Filed under: uncultured bacterium
Lineage: Bacteria
Description: partial 16S ribosomal RNA
Rfam family: Bacterial small subunit ribosomal RNA
Source: RNAcentral
CAUGUAGGCGGAUUGAUAAGUUUGAAGUGAAAUCCUAUAGCUUAACUAUAGAACUGCUUUGAAAACUGUUAAUCUAGAAUGUGGGAGAGGUAGAUGGAAUUUCUGGUGUAGGGUAAAAUCCGUAGAGAUCAGAAGGAAUACCGAUUACGAAGGCGAUCUACUGGAACAUUAUUGACGCUGAGAUGCGAAAGCGUGGGGAGCAAACA